AAUAUUUAUGGCAAGUCUAUUUCCAUUCAUCAACCUCAUCGAUUUUCGUUCCGAGUUAUCAAUGAUUCGAAUAGAACAGAGUUAGCUACUGAAGAUGCUGAUAAACUUGUAGAUGGAAUGGAUUUUGGGGAAUUGUGUGAUGAGUUUGAAUGCAUUAGUAGCCCUUCUGUGGAGGCUACUGCUAGGCAGCUAGUUCGAGAUAUUCUCGAACUACGUGAAGGCAAUCGCGCCCUCGGUACCUUUGCUGUCUCUGUCAAGUAUAAGGAUCCAGUGAGAAGUUUUACAGGACGAGACAAGUACAAGAGACCAUUAUGGAUAACUGAUGCUCUGCAGAAUCCUAAACCGAGUGUGCAAGAAAUGGUGAUGUUAUCAACAAGUGUGUUGAAUAUUAAGUGGAGAAUAAAAGGAAAAGCAAAGUCAUUGAUUGGUAGCAUAGGAGGGGAUUUGAUGAUCAAAGUAAAUUCAAGAUUCACUUUGAAUCAAAUAAGUGGACAAGUAGUUGAGCAUGAAGAGGAAUGGGAUUUAUCAGGAUCAUCCAUCAUUGCUCAAGCUUAUUUCUGGGCAUCGCGACGACUAUUCGCUACUGUUGAAGCUGGAAAAGAUGUGGUUGAUAUUGUUAAUGACUUGAGUUCUAAAUCUGCUAAAGAGAAUAAAAACAUGGAUGUUUAUCCUGACCCUUAUGGUGAUCCAGCGAAGUUCUUUCAAAGGGAUGACAGUUUCCAAAGAGAUUUUUACCAAAUUGCAUUGCUGCUGGCUGUUAUAUAUUUUGUCGUACAGUUCUUGAGGACAACUUUAUGAGACUCCUAAUUUUAACACUUGUAUAAUUGUAAUUAUUAAAUCUAUGUUUCUAUACAUACUUUGGGAAUAUAUAUCAACUUUUA
RNAcentral lists this unclassified non-coding RNA (881 nucleotides) under Hevea brasiliensis (rubber tree). Lineage: Eukaryota; Viridiplantae; Streptophyta; Magnoliopsida; Malpighiales; Euphorbiaceae. The record is from RNAcentral.